This is an RNA transcript of Cyclopterus lumpus (lumpfish), 1464 nucleotides long. It is a transcript of the gene named thioredoxin-like 4B, with no coding region annotated. NCBI's taxonomy places the organism in Eukaryota, Metazoa, Chordata, Actinopteri, Perciformes, Cyclopteridae. The record is from RefSeq and is a predicted model, not a curated record. The transcript has 5 exons.
ACUCACGUUGGCGGACGAUAUGAAGACAUGUCAGCCAGCACCGUGUGUUUGCUGCUCGCUGCUGGUGCUUUAAUGUUCCACGACAGCUCGAUGUGAAUUAUAACAAUCACUUUAAUACUCCUCGUCAUUUCACGUGGUUUCCGGCCGGAUUUGUUUUCACGGUGUCGUCGAACAUUUAUGACGCAACUUCCUCCUCUCCGCACAACAAGGGAAGUUAACGUUUUUCUUUUUAGCCUUCAAGAUGAGUUUGUUUUUGCCCAAAUUAGCAUGCAAAAAAGACAUCGAUGAAGUCAUCAAAAGCGUAGCAGAGAAGGUCGUGGUUUUGAGGUUUGGGAGAGACGAAGACUCCGUUUGUCUGCAGCUCGAUGAGAUUCUGUCAAAAACUGCCCACGACUUGAGCAACAUGGCAUCCAUCUACAUCGUCGACGUGGAUAAAUCUCCCAUCUACACACGAUACUUCGACAUCAGUUACAUCCCCUCCAUUGUUUUCUUUUUCAACGGGCAGCACAUGAAGGUGGAUUACGGGAUGAAACGAGGUCUGCAAGGGGAUGAACAGGAGGAGGAAGGUGGUACAAGCUGUGGGUCUCAGGAGACUCUUAAACGGUCCCGCAAGCAGAGGAGGGAGAACGAUUUGGAGGGGGAGGGAACCCGCGGGGGGUGUCUGCCUCAGGAGAUCCUGCUCCACAUCUUACGGUGUGCUGGGGGAUGGGAACCAGGCUGGAACCAGACUGGAACCAGUCUUAUCACAUGCCAGAGCUGUGGCGUUGCUUUGAGUUUGAGUUGAGCCAACCAGCCAGCUCCUACCUGAAGGCCACACACCCAGAACUCAUCAAACAGAUCAUUAAAGGCACUCCUACCACUCUCAGGAACAAGUGGUAUUACAAGACAGGACGGACUGGAGCGGGUUCAUUUCAGUAAAUGUCUUUGCAACACAAUGCAUAGACGUCUUUGACAUAAAGUUAACACCAUACUGUCUUCACAUUUGAUAAUGUUUUAAACACAAAGUCUGAGACGCAGAUGGUCUGAUUAUUGCCUGUGUAAAGUACGACAGUUAGAGAUAUAACAUUUGGGAGCUUUAAAAAAACUAAAUCACACUCACACAUUUUCUUUUCUUCUCUUAAUCUUGAAAGAUAAAUCACAAACAAAGUGCAUCUACAUCUGAAGGGGCCAUGUGGAGUCGUGGAUCACAGGUGGUGCUGUGGAAGAUUGUUUUGAUGAAAUGGAUCUCUGUUCCGUUUGCCUUUUGUGUUUUACAAGCACGUAAACAAGGAUGCACGUACAUCCAGACAUGGGGCGAUAUGACGGCAGACAUGUCUGCCAACUGCAGAGGGCAGCAAAGCAAAUAUAUACUAUCGAUGACACCCCUCAAAGUCCUGGUGGCCAAUAGCAGUGACACCCUCACACUGCUGAAAAUGAGCAGUUGGCCCCAUGUUUCACCUGCAGGUACUAACAUAUAGAAGGAAG